This 256-nucleotide ribosomal RNA is filed under the name Enterobacter mori. RNAcentral describes it as "partial 16S ribosomal RNA". It matches the Rfam family "Bacterial small subunit ribosomal RNA", at positions 1091 to 1347 of the family's 1533-position model. Lineage: Bacteria; Pseudomonadati; Pseudomonadota; Gammaproteobacteria; Enterobacterales; Enterobacteriaceae. The record is from RNAcentral.
AACGAGCGCAACCCUUAUCCUUUGUUGCCAGCGGUUCGGCCGGGAACUCAAAGGAGACUGCCAGUGAUAAACUGGAGGAAGGUGGGGAUGACGUCAAGUCAUCAUGGCCCUUACGAGUAGGGCUACACACGUGCUACAAUGGCGCAUACAAAGAGAAGCGACCUCGCGAGAGCAAGCGGACCUCAUAUUGUGAGUCGUAGUCCGGAUUGGAGUGGGCAACUCGACUCCAUGAAGUCGGAAUCGCUAGUAAUCGUAU